RNAcentral lists this non-coding RNA (86 nucleotides) under unclassified sequences. Its description in RNAcentral is "skipping-rope RNA". It matches the Rfam family "skipping-rope RNA". From Rfam's summary of the family: Firmicutes, Fusobacteria, AlphaProteobacteria, Spirochaetes. Downstream gene The record is from Rfam by way of RNAcentral.
UGGAUUUGAAGUCGGAAAUGGCUCCCGACACGCUACCUGCAAAGGCAGUUACCAGAGAUACAGGACACGCCGCCCUGUCAAAACCA